GACGAACGCUGGCGGCGUGCCUAAUACAUGCAAGUCGAACGAUGAGGCGAGGAGCUUGCUCUUCUUGGGUGAGUUGCGGACGGGUGAGUAACGCGUAGGUAACCUGCCUUGUAGCGGGGGAUAACUAUUGGAAACGAUAGCUAAUACCGCAUAACAUUGGAUGACACAUGGCAUUUUUUUGAAAGGGGCAAUUGCUCCACUACAAGAAGGACCUGAGGUGUAUUAGGUAGUAGGUGAGGUAAUGGCUCAACUAGGGGACGGUACAGAACCGAACUGAGAGGGGUGACGGCCCCACUGGGACUGGGACACCGCCCAGACCCCUUCGGGAGGGAGCAGUAAGGGAUCCUUCGCAAAGGGGGGAAACCCGACCGAGCAACGGCGCGGGAGUGAAUAAGGGUCUCGGAUCGGAAAGCUCGGUUGUAAGGGAAGAACGGGUGUUAGAGUGGAAAGUUCACACUGUGACGGUAGCUUAUCAGAAAGCGACGGCUAACUACGUG
RNAcentral lists this ribosomal RNA (497 nucleotides) under uncultured bacterium. RNAcentral describes it as "partial 16S ribosomal RNA". It matches the Rfam family "Bacterial small subunit ribosomal RNA", at positions 28 to 507 of the family's 1533-position model. The record is from RNAcentral.